UACAGAGGUCUCAACCGUUGUUCGGAUUCAUUGGGCGUAAAGGGUGCGUAGGCGGUCGCGCAAGUCGGAUGUGAAAUCUUGGGGCUCAACCCCGAAACUGCAUUCGAUACUGCGUGGCUCGAGUACUGGAGAGGAGACUGGAAUUUACGGUGUAGCAGUGAAAUGCGUAGAUAUCGUAAGGAAGACCAGUGGCGAAGGCGAGUCUCUGGACAGUUACUGACGCUGAGGCACGAAGGCCAGGGGAGCAAACAGG
RNAcentral lists this ribosomal RNA (253 nucleotides) under uncultured bacterium. Its description in RNAcentral is "partial 16S ribosomal RNA". It matches the Rfam family "Bacterial small subunit ribosomal RNA", at positions 524 to 776 of the family's 1533-position model. The record is from RNAcentral.